Molecule: ribosomal RNA, 253 nt
Filed under: uncultured bacterium
Lineage: Bacteria
Description: partial 16S ribosomal RNA
Rfam family: Bacterial small subunit ribosomal RNA
Source: RNAcentral
UACGUAGGGUCCGAGCGUUGUCCGGAAUUAUUGGGCGUAAAGAGCUCGUAGGCGGUUUGUCGCGUCUGCUGUGAAAACUCGAGGCUCAACCUCGGGCUUGCAGUGGGUACGGGCAGACUAGAGUGCGGUAGGGGUGACUGGAAUUCCUGGUGUAGCGGUGGAAUGCGCAGAUAUCAGGAGGAACACCGAUGGCGAAGGCAGGUCACUGGGCCGCAACUGACGCUGAGGAGCGAAAGCAUGGGGAGCGAACAGG